AAAAGGACUCUCGGCAACGGAUAUCUCGGCUCUUGCAUCGAUGAAGAACGUAGCGAAAUGCGAUACUUGGUGUGAAUUGCAGAAUCCCGUGAACCAUCGAGUCUUUGAACGCAAGUUGCGCCCGAAGCCAUUUGGUCGAGGGCACGCUUGCUUGGGUGUCGUGA
This 164-nucleotide ribosomal RNA is filed under the name Lijndenia danguyana. Its description in RNAcentral is "5.8S ribosomal RNA". It matches the Rfam family "5.8S ribosomal RNA". Rfam says of the family: 5.8S ribosomal RNA (5.8S rRNA) is a component of the large subunit of the eukaryotic ribosome. It is transcribed by RNA polymerase I as part of the 45S precursor that also contains 18S and 28S rRNA. Lineage: Eukaryota; Viridiplantae; Streptophyta; Magnoliopsida; Myrtales; Melastomataceae. The record is from RNAcentral.